GAUGAAGAACGCAGCGAAAUGCGAUACGUAAUGUGAAUUGCAGAAUUCAGUGAAUCAUCGAACCUUUGAACGCAUAUUGCGCUCUCUGGUAUUCCGGAGAGCAUGCUUGUUUGAGUAUCAGUAAACACCUCAACUUCCAUAUCUUUUUUGAAAUGGGAGUUGGACUUGAGUGAUCCCAACGCUUUUCCUCACCGAAAAGUGGCGGGUUACUUGAAAUGCAGGUGCAGCUGGACUUUUCUCUGAGCUAUAAGCAUAUCUAUUUAGUCUGCCUAAAAAACAGAUUAUUACCUUUGCUGCAGCUAACAUAAAGGAGAUUAGUUCUUGUGCUGACUGAUGCAGGAUUCACAAAGACAGGCUUCGGCCGACUUUGUAAACUCGAUCUCAAAUCAAGUAAGACUACCCGCUGAACUUAAGCAUAUCAAUAAGCGGAGGA
RNAcentral lists this unclassified non-coding RNA (433 nucleotides) under soil metagenome. RNAcentral's name for it is "partial contains 5.8S ribosomal RNA, internal transcribed spacer 2, and large subunit ribosomal RNA". The stretch from base 1 to 120 matches the Rfam family "5.8S ribosomal RNA", at positions 35 to 154 of the family's 154-position model. The record is from RNAcentral.